GCUACACAUGCAGUCGAGCGGUAACAGAAUUAGCUUGCUAAUUUGCUGACGAGCGGCGGACGGGUGAGUAAUGCCUGGGAAUAUGCCUUAGUGUGGGGGAUAACUAUUGGAAACGAUAGCUAAUACCGCAUAAUGUCUUCGGACCAAAGAGGGGGAUCUUCGGACCUCUCGCGCUAAGAUUAGCCCAGGUGAGAUUAGCUUGUUGGUGAGGUAAGAGCUCACCAAGGCGACGAUCUCUAGCUGGUCUGAGAGGAUGAUCAGCCACACUGGAACUGAGACACGGUCCAGACUCCUACGGGAGGCAGCAGUGGGGAAUAUUGCACAAUGGGCGAAAGCCUGAUGCAGCCAUGCCGCGUGUAUGAAGAAGGCCUUCGGGUUGUAAAGUACUUUCAGUCGUGAGGAAGGGUGUGUNGUUAAUAGCUGCAUAUCUUGACGUUAGCNACAGAAGAAGCACCGGCUAACUCCGUGCCAGCAGCCGCGGUAAUACGGAGGGUGCGAGCGUUAAUCGGAAUUACUGG
Molecule: ribosomal RNA, 518 nt
Filed under: bacterium fme08x95np505
Lineage: Bacteria
Description: bacterial SSU rRNA
Rfam family: Bacterial small subunit ribosomal RNA
Source: RNAcentral